This 194-nucleotide ribosomal RNA is filed under the name uncultured Glomus. RNAcentral describes it as "partial 18S ribosomal RNA". It matches the Rfam family "Eukaryotic small subunit ribosomal RNA", at positions 1632 to 1831 of the family's 1831-position model. The record is from RNAcentral. Lineage: Eukaryota; Fungi; Glomeromycota; Glomeromycetes; Glomerales; Glomeraceae.
UAGCUUGGCUGAUUACGUCCUGCCUUGUACACACCGCCGUCGCUACUACCGAUUGAAUGGCUUAGUGAGGCCUCAGAUGAGGCUCGGAGAUUGGCAACAGUUCUUGGUUUGAAAAGUUGGUCAAACUUGGUCGUUUAGAGGAAGUAAAAGUCGUAACAAAGGUUUCCGUAGGUGAACCUGCGGAAGGAUCAUCA